Molecule: ribosomal RNA, 339 nt
Filed under: uncultured Pseudomonadota bacterium
Lineage: Bacteria; Pseudomonadati; Pseudomonadota
Description: bacterial SSU rRNA
Rfam family: Bacterial small subunit ribosomal RNA
Source: RNAcentral
AACAAACGCUGGCGGCGUGCCUAACACAUGCAAGUCGUACGAGAAAAUCGACUUCGGUCGGUGAGUAAAGUGGCGCACGGGUGAGUAACGCGUGGAUAAUCUGCCCCUCAGUUGGGAAUAACCCAUCGAAAGGUGGAAUAAUACCGAAUAAUUCUAUGAGACUUCGGUUGAAUAGACAAAGAGAGCCUCUGUUUACAUGCCCUCGCUGAAGGAUGAGUCCGCGUACCAUUAGCUAGUUGGUAGGGUAAUGGCCUACCAAGGCGACGAUGGUUAGCUGGUCUGAGAGGAUGAUCAGCCACACUGGAACUGAGACACGGUCCAGACUCCUACGGGAGGCAG